CCUACGGGAGGCAGCAGUGGGGAAUAUUGCGCAAUGGGGGGAACCCUGACGCAGCAACGCCGCGUGAGUGAAGAAGGCCUUCGGGUUGUAAAGCUCUUUAAUCAGGGACGAAGAAUGACGGUACCUGAAGAAUAAGCUCCGGCUAACUACGUGCCAGCAGCCGCGGUAAUACGUAGGGAGCAAGCGUUAUCCGGAUUUAUUGGGUUUAAAGGGUGCGCAGGCGGAAGAUCAAGUCAGCGGUAAAAUUGAGAGGUUCAACCUCUUCGAGCCGUUGAAACUGGUUUUCUUGAGUGAGUGAGAAGUAUGCGGAAUGCGUGGUGUAGCGGUGAAAUGCAUAGAUAUCACGCAGAACUCCGAUUGCGAAGGCAGCAUACCGGCGCUCAACUGACGCUCAUGCACGAAAGUGUGGGUAUCGAACAGGAUUAGAUACCCCAGUAGUC
This 440-nucleotide ribosomal RNA is filed under the name uncultured bacterium. RNAcentral's name for it is "partial 16S ribosomal RNA". It matches the Rfam family "Bacterial small subunit ribosomal RNA", at positions 338 to 795 of the family's 1533-position model. The record is from RNAcentral.